This 480-nucleotide ribosomal RNA is filed under the name uncultured bacterium. Its description in RNAcentral is "partial 16S ribosomal RNA". It matches the Rfam family "Bacterial small subunit ribosomal RNA", at positions 28 to 507 of the family's 1533-position model. The record is from RNAcentral.
GACGAACGCUGGCGGCGUGCUUAACACAUGCCAGUUGAACGAGAAUUUUUCGAGUGAUUUCUUCGGAAUGAUCAUGAAAAAGGAAAGUAGCGAACGGGUGAGUAACACGUGAGAAACCUGCCUUUCACAAAGGGAUAGCCUCGGGAAACCGGGAUUAAUACCUUAUGAAACCAAACACUCGCAUGAGAGAUUGGUUAAAGAUUUAUCGGUGUUAGAUGGUCUCGCGUCUGAUUAGCUAGUUGGUGGGAUAAAAGCCUACCAAGGCAACGAUCAGUAGCCGGAUUGAGAGGUUGAACGGCCACACUGGAACUGAGACACGGUCCAGACUCCUACGGGAGGCAGCAGUGGGGAAUUUUGCACAAUGGAGGAAACUCUGAUGCAGCGACGCCGCGUGAGUGAUGAAGGUCUUCGGAUUGUAAAACUCUGUCCUGAGUGAAGAUAAUGACAGUAACUAAGAAGCAAGCCCUGGCUAAAUACGUG